RNAcentral lists this ribosomal RNA (253 nucleotides) under uncultured bacterium. RNAcentral's name for it is "partial 16S ribosomal RNA". It matches the Rfam family "Bacterial small subunit ribosomal RNA", at positions 524 to 776 of the family's 1533-position model. The record is from RNAcentral.
UACGUAGGAGGCAAGCGUUGUCCGGAAUCACUGGGCGUAAAGAGCUCGUAGGCGGCCUGUUACGUCUGCUGUGAAAUCCCGGGGCUUAACCCCGGGCGUGCAGUGGAUACGGGCAGGCUGGAGGCAGGCAGGGGAGAACGGAAUUCCCGGUGUAGCGGUGAAAUGCGCAGAUAUCGGGAGGAACACCGGUGGCGAAGGCGGUUCUCUGGGCCUGUACUGACGCUGAGGAGCGAAAGCGUGGGGAGCGAACAGG